Triticum aestivum (bread wheat) is the source of this 4127-nucleotide long non-coding RNA. RefSeq lists it as uncharacterized. Lineage: Eukaryota; Viridiplantae; Streptophyta; Magnoliopsida; Poales; Poaceae. The transcript has 5 exons. The record is from RefSeq and is a predicted model, not a curated record.
GCUUGGGUGUGGGCGUGAACCCUCCCCUCCCCCCAGUCCACAGCCGCCACACCCUCUCCUCCCCGCCUCGUCUCCUCCCGGCUCCCCCAUCUCUUCUCCCACGUCGUCGCCUCCCCUCACCCCGCUCGCCUCAGCCACCUCCUAUGCUCCCCCGCACCGCCGGCUCCCUCCCUCUCGGCUGACCCCAUGGCGGCGGCCGGGUCGGGGUGGAGGCAAAACACCAUGGAGAAUCCGGUGUCUUUGGGCGCGGCAUGGGUUGAUGGAGCGGCGGAUUUGGGCAUGAUCCCACCCUUAGGCGCUCCACGACGACGGCCAGUUCGGAGGGAGAAGGUAGAAAGUGAUGGCGAGUCCUGCGCCUCUGGGUGGAAGCAACGGGGUUGGUCGAGCAGCGGAUGUGGUCGGGGUCAGCAGUUGAAGGAGGCUCGCCGGCCGGAGCAGCAGGAGGUGAUUCAGGAGCGCCUCGAGGAGUGGAAGGGAGAGGUCGUGCAGGACAGGCCAACAAGAGCAUUAGAGCAACGAGGAUAAAAUAUUCGAUCAGCCCUAUAUCUUCUUCUCGAUGCAGCCCCGCAUAGGUAUCCUGGGGUGAUUCAAGAUGCUCAGGUGUAUCACACUGCAUGGUACACAGGUCAGUUUUGCAGGCUGCUCUGAGAUACACUGAUUUAGAUACAACCACAUGUCUGCAGCAAUUUCUUACUCUCGGUAUAAAGACCAGCUCAUGGUGUGGGAAGCAUCUCAUAUGGUUCACCGAAUCAAUUGAUGAAUCUGAAGCGAUUCAAGAGGAGGAGCAAAAACUGUUUAUGCCUAUAGAAGUGAAACGGAAGGCCAUGAACAACGCGUCUCCGGGAAGUGAAUUUUAUGGUGCCUUUCAUUCUGCUCAUUUGGCGCAAUUUUAAAUCACAAAGUGGAGGGGAGAGGUCUGGCUGCUACUGGUGGGAAAUGGGUGCCUCUCCAGUCAACCGAGCGACGACAAAUCCAACUGGGAAGGGCUCUGUGGUGAUCUUCAUGUUAUCAGUAACUGUUCAUGAUUUUCCUGGCUAACAGUUGUUAUCUUUCAAGGCUACGAGUUUAGUCCUGUAUGCAAUACAAAACAUUCAAGCAAAUAAUUUGUGCUUUACCUUUUGAAACGCGUGUGCAACAUGUUUUUUUCUCUUUUAUCCAAGCUACUAUGCAAAACUGUAUUGUUUUACGGCCAUUUGGUUCACAUGAGUGAGCUUUGUGGGACUAGGAUAGUACAUGCAUGUGCAGUAUUACAGAUACACAAUUAGCUGUUGAAUGAUUCUUAUUUGUAGUUAUCUGAAAUAUUACUUCCUGACUUUAAAUUUACCUUCUUUCUUUAUCCAUGUACAAGCUCAACACAUGGUGUUCUCUUCUUGAUUCCUGCUGGAAAGCAAGCCAUGCGUCAGCGUACGGCAACGAUUCGGGUGCCUGCGGCAUGAUGGCGCCGCAGAAGCAUGCAGCGUUCUUCGACGGCAAACAAGGAUGCAUUUGUUUUCCACUCAGUUUCUUUUUGUUCCCUAUGCUUUUUCUCAGAGAGAUUUCUCUAAGUGAUUCUCCGUUUGAUGUUCUUUGAUUCUGUCUAACGUACAAUUUAUCCUCCUUGCAUAUCAGCAUUUUGGGCCCUCGGAUUUGGAUUUGCUGCAGCCUCCACAAUGAGUGCCACCUUCAUCAAUGGCGUCCUUGGCCCCCAGAAAAAACCGGUAAUCCUUCGACAGCAAAAUCAUACAUCUUUGUCUAUAGGAGUUAUUUUCUCUAUUGAGUUUAAUGUUCCUGGUUAGUUACUUAGCUUGCGACUGCAACGUAACCUUGCUUUCCUGAGAAGGCAAAACAACAAUCAACAAUGCUUCAUUUUUCUGCGAUUUUGAGCUGAUAAUUCAGUGAUGGCAUGAUAGGCUAGCUACCUAAGCCAUAAAGUUGUUGCGUUGAAAAUUACAGCAUGCGUGUUUGAGAGAAAGGGAUGGUAAAUAGGGGACUGGAACAAGUGGAGAAGAAAUUUAUUAGUUGAUUCUCCCAUCUGAUAGAAACUACCUCAUGAAUGUUUAUUUAUUUAGUGAUCAGAUGUGAGAUCUGAACAUUGAAGAGCAACAAUGGACAUAAGUGUUAGAUGAGUUUGGGAAGACAUGGUUGCAAAUGGAGUAUUUUCACGAUGAGCUCGGCUCCUGAAGGCAUGAUGCCUCAUUUCGAUUCUCUUAUCUCGGUGUGUUUUUAUUCAGAAAAUUAAGGCAUGAUGCCUCAUUUUGAUUAUCUUAUCUCGGUGUGUUUUAUUCAGAAAAUAAAUUUGCUUAUUUUUGCUUUUUUAGGGCUAUAACAAGAGAAACCUCCAUUGCUGAAAAUCUUUUAAAGAGAUCGAGGAUAAAUUUUUUUCCAAGUAAAAUGUGCUUUACUGCCGUAUUUUUUAUGCGAACCUUCUUCUUAAUCUGUGUUGGGACUUGGGAGAAAGAUGUUGCUUUUUUGUUCAGAAAAUGUUUAUUAGAUGGAAAUACUCGGCAUUUAAAGUUUUUUCUCCAAAUGUUUUUGUGCGUGCAAAUAUGAUCUGAUUUCAUUGCAGCCAAGCCAAUGGAUAUGUGUAGAGGGCCGCAAUGAGGCAGACGGUAGCGGGUGGCAGCAAUAGGGGUUGACGGAUGCUCCGAGACCAUGAAGAGCCUAUUCAAUGGUGUAUUCCCUCCCUGUUCAUUUUUUGGGGGUUCCGUCUCCAGAUUGGUGUGAUACAAUUCUGAGUUGUUGUGCGUGCGUGUGUUGUGUGAUGCAGAUGAGAAGGAUGACAUAGCGAAUGAGGAUUCCGACAUGGUAGCUCCCACAAUCGCGCAGUUGGAGAGCAUGCACGAGUUCGGUAAACUAUGUAUUCUAUUGGUAUAGCUCUGAAAGGUUAGGAUGCUUUGGGUCGCGGCCUGAACUAUGUAUCUGUGGAUAUUACUACACUUUCAGCAUGCUAUUUCCUAUUUUUUAGACAUCAAUUUCUGUGAAUUGUGGCUGAACUAUGAUACUUUAGGUUGCAUGCUCAACUAUGUGUAGUGUCAUUACCGCUUUCUCCCCUGAUUGUAUUGUCCUUGCCAUGUUAUCCCCUAAAGGCUUACUCUUGCCAUGUUAUUCCCUAAAUUAUUACUCAUUUCUUCUUUUGCCAGUGCUCCACUUAUGCAUCAUGUAUUUAGUACUCCCUCCAUCUGAAAAUACUUGUCGAAUAAAAAUGAAUGUAUCUUAAACUAAAAUAUGUCUAGAUACAACCAUCUCUCCGACAAGUAUUUUCGGAUGGAGGGAGUACCAAAAAUGAGGUAUGCUUCUUUACAUUAAACAGUCUUUCCUUCUCAGUAUAUAUGGAAGUAUAUUGGACGGCUUCCAUAGAAUACUUGUGUCUGUACUAUAUACUGGAUGAAAAUAAUUUCCUUGCAUGCGAACAUAUGCUAAUUAGUAGCUGCACCACAUUCCUGAAGCUUUUUUGAACUAUUGGGAAACAUGAGAAAGUUUUUACACAUAAGUAUAUGGUUCUUGUUUCCAUUUCAAACAAAACGAAGGCUAAAAGUUGCUACUUCUGUAGUACUCCUAGAUACAACAAUUAGUGUUCAGCUAGACUGUCAAUCUUACAGUUUUUCACUAACCGCUGCCUCUGUAGGCUUAUGCCAGCGCUGGUGAAAAAGCACAUGGAUUUGGGAAGAAAGCAAAGUUGUAGCUAUCAUGCACCGUGCAUGCAUGCAAUUAGAAUUUACAAAAACAAUUAGAAAUUGUGGUUCUAAUCAGAUUCAUUGUCUUACCAGAUCUUUUGCAUAUCAGACUCUCCUUGCUGACAUCUGAUGAAGUUGUGGUCCAGGAGAAGAAUGAAUAUUUUAUAGCUCUAGCUUCCCCCUUCAGAUAGUCAUGCUCUCCUCCUGGUUUAACAUCCAGUUGCAGUGUGAUAGCUUUGACACACUUUCAUGUAAUUGUUCUGGUUUAACAUCCAGCUGUAGUGUGAUAGCUUCGACACCCUUUCAUGGAAUUGCCACCCCCCCACACACACAUCCACGCCCACACCCACACCCAAAUGAAAUGUAUAGAUCUCGCAUAUUUUAUCUGUCUACUUGUUUUAUGAGGAAACAACUCGACUAAUGGUUACUCGGGAGUUGAGAACAAAAGUAGGUGGAGUGCUCAUUGAUCAUUAA